UUAAAACCAAAGUCCUAAUCAAACUAUAGUUAAAAGAACAAACAUAGUAUAAUAAAAUCAAGUACCACAAACACAGUAUAAUAAAAGUGUUGGUUCUGAACUCAGAAUUACAUGUUUAGCCACAAACUCAUGACUAGCCAAAUUCUGAACUCAAAAUUACAAUGCGUAAAAUCAAAACUGAAAUCGGCAAAACCAUUCUCAUCGUAAUUUGGAAAAAAAAAGGAGAGGAAAAAGUGAGUACCUUGCGAGAAUAGAAUCGGAAAAAGGAAGGAAGAGCGUUUUGUCGAGAUGAAGACUAGAAUCACGUUUCCUUCAAUGAGGCUGAGAAGUAUAAUCAAUUGGGAUUUUGGGGAUGAAAUCAAUUUUGGUGAUGAAAUUGAAACAGAAACUUUUGCGACAAAAAGAAACGAGAUGAGAAGUAGAAUCAAUUGGGAUUUUGGGGAUGAAAUCAAGAAGAACAAACAGUAUAUAUUCAUCUUGGGGAAGUUAAAGAUGCAGUGUUUGUUUUUUUUUUUU
RNAcentral lists this long non-coding RNA (516 nucleotides) under Trifolium pratense (red clover). Its description in RNAcentral is "long non-coding RNA (TPRA_LNC006898)". Lineage: Eukaryota; Viridiplantae; Streptophyta; Magnoliopsida; Fabales; Fabaceae. The record is from RNAcentral.